Molecule: non-coding RNA, 28 nt
Filed under: Bombyx mori (domestic silkworm)
Lineage: Eukaryota; Metazoa; Arthropoda; Insecta; Lepidoptera; Bombycidae
Source: RNAcentral
UACAAUAGUGCUAAGGAACCCCAUUACA